GACGAACGCUGGCGGCGUGCUUAACACAUGCAAGUCGAACGGAAAGACCCUGCUUUUGUGGGGUGCUCGAGUGGCGAACGGGUGAGUAACACGUGAGUAACCUGCCCUUGACUUUGGGAUAACUUCAGGAAACUGGGGCUAAUACCGGAUAGGAGCUCCUGCUGCAUGGUGGGGGUUGGAAAGUUUCGGCGGUUGGGGAUGGACUCGCGGCUUAUCAGCUUGUUGGUGGGGUAGUGGCUUACCAAGGCUUUGACGGGUAGCCGGCCUGAGAGGGUGACCGGCCACAUUGGGACUGAGAUACGGCCCAGACUCCUACGGGAGGCAGCAGUGGGGAAUAUUGCACAAUGGGCGGAAGCCUGAUGCAGCAACGCCGCGUGCGGAAUGACGGCCUUCGGGUUGUAAACCGCUUUCGCCUGUGACGAAGCGUGAGUGACGGUAAUGGGUAAAGAAGCACCGGCUAACUACGUG
RNAcentral lists this ribosomal RNA (468 nucleotides) under uncultured bacterium. RNAcentral describes it as "partial 16S ribosomal RNA". It matches the Rfam family "Bacterial small subunit ribosomal RNA", at positions 28 to 507 of the family's 1533-position model. The record is from RNAcentral.